This 463-nucleotide long non-coding RNA is filed under the name Equus asinus (donkey). RNAcentral describes it as "lncRNA (ENSEASG00005036008.1)". The record is from RNAcentral. Lineage: Eukaryota; Metazoa; Chordata; Mammalia; Perissodactyla; Equidae.
GGAGAACUGCCUGUGGGCCUCCUGGGUAGGGAAAUGCAGGCGCUGGGCAAAGUCCUGGUGGCUAUGUGAACACGUUCUGUACCAAGGCUUUUGCAAACGGGUAUCUCUCAUCUCUCCCCAGACCUUCUCUCUCAGACCCGAGUCACCGCAGAUGCAUAGAAAUCCAGAAAUGGGGGCUGAAUGCUGCUCCGCAGAGCUCCUUGUGUCUAUCCUCUCUGCUUCUCUCACCAUGAUGAGCCUCUCCCUCUGGUCCUCAGCGACUGUACCACACUGUGGCACUGAUAGGAUUCCAAGAUUCAGCAAGAAAAAUAUAGGAUGCCGAGUUAAAUUUGAAUUUCAGAUAAACAAGUAAUUUUUUAGUGUGUCUCAACCGGACAUGCUGUCUUUUAUCUGGCAUCCCUUUUCACCGAGUGUAUACAUAGGAUCUGCUGGGGAAGCUCCCUGCCUUCCUACGGGAUUCCCC